This 422-nucleotide ribosomal RNA is filed under the name uncultured bacterium. RNAcentral describes it as "bacterial SSU rRNA". It matches the Rfam family "Bacterial small subunit ribosomal RNA", at positions 358 to 773 of the family's 1533-position model. The record is from RNAcentral.
AGAAUUUUUCUCAAUGGGGGAAACCCUGAAGGAGCGACGCCGCGUGGAGGAUGAAGGUCUUCGGAUUGUAAACUCCUGUCAUUGGUGAACAAGGCCAUCGGUUAACUGCCGUUUGGUUUGAUAGUAGCCGAAGAGGAAGAGACGGCUAACUCUGUGCCAGCAUCCGCGGUAAUACAGAGGUCUCAAGCGUUGUUCGGAUUCAUUGGGCGUAAAGGGUGCGUAGGUGGCGGGGCAAGUCUGGUGUGAAAUCCCGGGGCUCAACCCCGGAACUGCACUGGAUACUGCUUUGCUAGAGUACUGGAGAGGGAACUGGAAUUUACGGUGUAGCAGUGAAAUGCGUAGAUAUCGUAAGGAAGACCAGUGGCGAAGGCGAGUUCCUGGACAGUUACUGACACUGAGGCACGAAGGCCAGGGGAGCAAAC